GCUAACACCCACGAAUUCAUUACAUCGAUGGACUAACUACAGGGGCAUGCAUGAACUGUACGAGAUACAGAGGACACGGGCUCGCUAGUCCGUAGUACUAUAGUAAUCAACUACUCGGCGUGUCUAACUAAUCGAGGUAUCCUUGAGACCAGGCCUAUCGAAGGCUUGGGGCAAGAACCGCCGCUCUCGUGCUCCUGCUGCUGCUGCCGUGGGUGCUGGGCGAGCCGGCGGGGACUUGGGCGUCGUCGGCAUCGGAGUCCUCCUCCUCGGUGAUUGGGUCGAGGCAGCCCGUGGCCGCGCGACGGAGGCGCAGCCGCUGCAGCCGCAUGACGUGGAAGGCUUCCGGCGGGGCCGCCUCGUCGGCAGCGAAGUGGACGACUGCGUAGGUUCUCGCGGCGGAGGCCAUGGAUCAGCGACGGGUGGCGUCUCUAGCUUGCUAAGCUUGGAUCGGGCGCCUGAUUGCUUGCCGUGCUUGUGGACUGUGGCGAUGCGAGGGAGACGCAGGCAGCUUGGUUCGUUUAUAUAAAGCCGGCGAUGGAGCGGUGGAGCACGCGACCGGCCGGCCACUGGCCGCCCGCGU
Molecule: ribosomal RNA, 580 nt
Filed under: Triticum aestivum (bread wheat)
Lineage: Eukaryota; Viridiplantae; Streptophyta; Magnoliopsida; Poales; Poaceae
Description: partial small subunit ribosomal RNA
Source: RNAcentral